CGGUCUCCGCAGUUUUGCGUGUUUAGCACCGCGUUUUGUUGGACAUUGCUGUGCAAACCUACGCAAAGCUGAGGGUACCG
Petromyzon marinus (sea lamprey) is the source of this 80-nucleotide non-coding RNA. NCBI's taxonomy places the organism in Eukaryota, Metazoa, Chordata, Hyperoartia, Petromyzontiformes, Petromyzontidae. The record is from Rfam.